UAUCACUGCCGCUCCGAGAAAAUGGUUGCACAAUUUUCAAGAUAUUAGGAUAAUUUGAAUUAAGCUCAUAAAUCAGACAGAGGGCCCAAGUACUACUAUUACUAUGUUAAUGCUUUGCUCUCAGCUGGAGGCUCAGACUUGUAUCUGGAGCACUGGAAUUCCUGGAAACCUGCCAUGCCUGCAUGUCGAAGAUGCUUAUCCACUCUGAGAAUCAUCUGAUCCCCUAAAGCCUCAUUCAUUGAGCAGAAAUAAA
This 253-nucleotide unclassified non-coding RNA is filed under the name Hevea brasiliensis (rubber tree). Lineage: Eukaryota; Viridiplantae; Streptophyta; Magnoliopsida; Malpighiales; Euphorbiaceae. The record is from RNAcentral.